GAACGCCGUAUGAGGUGAAAGUCUCACGUACGGUGUGGAGCGGGGGAAAACUUGGAGAGUUAUUCAAAGAGUUACCUAUCGCUAU
RNAcentral lists this non-coding RNA (85 nucleotides) under Pilibacter termitis. Lineage: Bacteria; Bacillati; Bacillota; Bacilli; Lactobacillales; Enterococcaceae. The record is from RNAcentral.